This 23-nucleotide microRNA is filed under the name Danio rerio (zebrafish). RNAcentral's name for it is "Dre-Mir-551-P2_5p* (star (passenger))". Lineage: Eukaryota; Metazoa; Chordata; Actinopteri; Cypriniformes; Danionidae. The record is from RNAcentral.
GAAACCAAGCAUGGGUGUGGCCU